AAGGAAAUGGAAGACGUUUGUCUUGUCUUAUUUAGUUUUGAGAGGUCUUGAAUAGUACCACGACUAAUAAUGUAAAACCAUUUUAUUAGUAGGGGCCUUAGCUCAGCUGGGAGAGCGCCUGCUUUGCACGCAGGAGGUCAGCGGUUCGAUCCCGCUAGGCUCCAUUAUCUAGGAAACAAAGAGAUGUUCGGCUAGCCGAAAUUUCUGUAGAAAAAUAGGACACAGACGCUGUGUGCUUGCACACAAGGAAGUUUAUCUUUUUUCCUAAGACAUUAAUCUCGUGUACAACUAGAUAAAAGAUAUUUGAAUACAAUCCUAAACUUACUAGGAAUACGUCAAAGCCAUCUCGUGUCAAAGACACAUCACUGGUUAGUACCUUAUACUCCGCAAGUUUAGCGACAAGUCGCACCGGAUUUUAGUAUCAUCAUAGUCCAUUGACAUUUGAUCAACUAUUUCAAAUUCCACGAUCAUGCACCUGAUUGUAGAAAAGUAACAAAGAAAUAACGAACAAAGAUAAAGCGAACAUAUAAAAAAUCAGCAGGUCGAGACGGCACACGGUAUAA
Molecule: transfer RNA, 563 nt
Filed under: Streptococcus porcinus
Lineage: Bacteria; Bacillati; Bacillota; Bacilli; Lactobacillales; Streptococcaceae
Rfam family: tRNA (bases 92-164)
Source: RNAcentral